AAUGCCAGUUUCAUCCUUUUGCGCAAUUCUCUACCAAGAUUCCACACCUCGAGCAUAGAAAAGGAAUCCGCAAGAGCGGUAAAAGGUAUCGCAGUCACUAGCUGUGAGCAGUUUGCGAAACUUAAGUUUAACUUCUCGAACUGCUUCAACUGCUUGUGACCUUUCCAUGGCUGUAUACAAAGCAGUAAUCCUCCUUCUGGCACUUGCUGUCAUUUCCAUGGCCAGCUACAAAUCCGGUGGAGACGGUUGGCCAAGUUGUGACGGGCAGACUUGCUUUUACGAUGCGAACACCAGAACGCAGAGCUGUCCGCAAGGAUGUCGUUGCAUCAUAAACGAAACAGCUAAAGGCUAUCAGAAGGGCUUCUGUUGGAACUGAGCCCUGAAACACUUCGGAUUUUGUAAUUAAGAAGCAUGCAAAUAUAUUCUGUCUUCAAUAAAAACAAAGGCCAGCUAACAAACUUCA
Long non-coding RNA from Rhipicephalus sanguineus (brown dog tick), 463 nucleotides. RefSeq lists it as uncharacterized. The record is from RefSeq and is a predicted model, not a curated record. The transcript has 3 exons. Lineage: Eukaryota; Metazoa; Arthropoda; Arachnida; Ixodida; Ixodidae.